AUGAUCAAAGGUGGCCUCUACAUGUAAGCUACCACUUGAGGAUGGGCCCGCGUACCAUUAGCUUGUUGGUGGGGUAAUGGCCUACCAAGGCUACGAUGGUUAGCUGGUCUGAGAGGAUGAUCAGCCACACUGGAACUGACACACGGUCCAGACUCCUACGGGAGGCAGCAGUGGGGAAGUUUUGCGCAAUGGGGGGAAACCCUGACGCAGCAACGCCGCGUGAGUGAUGAAGGCCUUCGGGUCGUAAAGCUCUGUCAAGUGGGAAGAAUAUGUUCGAUGUUAAUACCAUCGUGCACUGACGGUACCACUGAAGGAAGCACCGGCUAACUCCGUG
RNAcentral lists this ribosomal RNA (334 nucleotides) under uncultured bacterium. Its description in RNAcentral is "bacterial SSU rRNA". It matches the Rfam family "Bacterial small subunit ribosomal RNA", at positions 197 to 507 of the family's 1533-position model. The record is from RNAcentral.